This is a long non-coding RNA of Peromyscus eremicus (cactus mouse), 1457 nucleotides long. RefSeq lists it as uncharacterized. The record is from RefSeq and is a predicted model, not a curated record. NCBI's taxonomy places the organism in Eukaryota, Metazoa, Chordata, Mammalia, Rodentia, Cricetidae. The transcript is spliced from 2 exons.
GGGACCUUGGUUCUUAGAACCCCCAAUCAGCCUUAGGGUUACCUCACAGUGGCAAAAUGGCUGUUGGUGUGCAAGCCAUCAUGUCCAUGGAAGAGAGGAAUUGUCUCCCAGAACUUUGUUAAAACCACGUGCCCCUGGACAACUCCACAUCUCAGCCCUCCACAGUCUGAUCCAGGCCAGUGACACUCACUGCAGUGAGCCUGUGAAGGGACCGUCUGCAUCCUCCCUCCGCUUCCCAGGAGAAGCAUGGACCCCACCUCCCAUCCCCCAACUCUUUCCAUUGACCCACCCUCAAGAUCUAGAUCUUCUUGGCAAUAUGUUGAACCCCUCCAGAUUUGUGGAGUCAACAACAUCCUGAAGGAAUGCUGGACCCUCAUGAGGGGCCCUCGGAUGCUGGUUCUGGCUCUGUUUAUCAAAUUAUAGCUCUUUUCCAUGUUGGAAGGAAGGAUGCUGUUUGGAACACUUCCUCCGACAUGAUGCCUCUGGAGCACCUGAGUAGUUGCUCAUUCUUAACAGAUAUUAGACUGACCCCACUCUGAGCUCACUCUCAGUUAACCAAGACUGACUGGGCCUCAUCAGGUUGCUUCACAACCAGUGGUUCCAGAAAAGACAUUUUUACUACGGAGAGCAGCACCGUCAAGAAGCUGAGUAUGUAAAUCCCGGAGUGAGCUAGCAUCCAAUUUCCCGCUCCGUUCAUUGUCCAUCUGCUCUUUGCUUCUCUUUGCCGCUGAUGCCCUUUCCGUGGAGACCCCUUCCCAGCAGGAUUCUGUACCCACCCACGUGUCCUCCAUGUGAACACGCUGUCUGCUGUUUUGCUUCCCUCCCACCAAACCCAGAAUUCUGUGAACACCUUGAACACAAGACAGCAUUUUUCUUGCAGUCCUCAGCAUGCAGCAGAGGACUUGCCUCCUGAUAUGUACGUCUUGGACACUUUCUGUUUCUUUUUCUACAUUUUUCCACUUCUUUUCCCAGCUUUUCUCUAGUCUCAUUCUACUUCUUCAAGAGGAAGACUCCCAAAGGUGGCAUGGGAGAUGAGGAGCUAUUAUCUGUCACAACCACAGGGACUUUGCCCAUCCCCGAACACAAGGCACCCUUCAGAACAAUUAGGAAUCAUGUUCUUGCUGGCCCUAUCAUCAGCCACAGCUGUCCUCUGGCAUGCGUGUUCAACCCCAGGGCAUCUCAGGAGCAUGCUCCUUAGAGAGGCAUUGGAAGCGUCAUUUGGAGGCAGAGGAACACUGGCCAAAACGGUAUUGAGACAGCAAAGAAAAUGUGCCCACUGGUGAUCCUUCCAGGAGAUAGUCCCCAUGGGCUACCUGUACUUUUAGUUUCCACCUUAACAACAUAUCUGUAAUCUUGUACUGUUUCAAAACGGGACUUUGGAGGUUGUUUUGGGGAGUUCUUUCUCAUUUCCAACUUCCAUUUUCUCUUCAUCUGAAAUAUUAAAGCAAGUGACACUA